RNAcentral lists this ribosomal RNA (471 nucleotides) under Alteromonas sp. 'Disko Bay 66'. RNAcentral's name for it is "bacterial SSU rRNA". It matches the Rfam family "Bacterial small subunit ribosomal RNA", at positions 22 to 490 of the family's 1533-position model. The record is from RNAcentral. Lineage: Bacteria; Pseudomonadati; Pseudomonadota; Gammaproteobacteria; Alteromonadales; Alteromonadaceae.
GCUCAGAUUGAACGCUGGCGGCAGGCCUAACACAUGCAAGUCGAACGGUAACAUUUCUAGCUUGCUAGAAGAUGACGAGUGGCGGACGGGUGAGUAAUGCUUGGGAACUUGCCUUUGCGAGGGGGAUAACAGUUGGAAACGACUGCUAAUACCGCAUAAUGUCUUCGGACCAAACGGGGCUUCGGCUCCGGCGCAAAGAGAGGCCCAAGUGAGAUUAGCUAGUUGGUAAGGUAACGGCUUACCAAGGCGACGAUCUCUAGCUGUUCUGAGAGGAAGAUCAGCCACACUGGGACUGAGACACGGCCCAGACUCCUACGGGAGGCAGCAGUGGGGAAUAUUGCACAAUGGGGGAAACCCUGAUGCAGCCAUGCCGCGUGUGUGAAGAAGGCCUUCGGGUUGUAAAGCACUUUCAGUUGUGAGGAAAAGUUAGUAGUUAAUACCUGCUAGCCGUGACGUUAACAACAGAAGAAG